AAGAACAAUAUGAAAAAUCUGCUGCAGGAAGAGCAGCACGUGCACAAAUGGCAGCUGCUGCCAAGCAAGCAACGAAUGCGAACCAAGGAGAACCAGUUCUUAAAUGGCAGAUGGGAUGAACAUUAGCUCUCUUAGGUCAACUUCUUCCAUUCAUUGUACUGAGAGUUGAAGUUUGAUAUCCAACAGUUGUAAAUAUGUUGCUCUUAUUUAAUUUAGUGUUUUCUCCAAUCUAUAUAUUUGUAAACUGAAAUGAGAAUAAGGUGGAACAUAUCUGACAGUUUGUAUUUCCACCAGUCAAUUUACUCUUCUCUUGUUUGUGUACACAAAUGUAAUUCAAAGGGCUUCUCAACAUUCAAUUUACAGAGGAAAGUAAUGCAUUCGAAUAUCAUUUUUCG
Solanum stenotomum is the source of this 395-nucleotide long non-coding RNA. RefSeq lists it as uncharacterized. Lineage: Eukaryota; Viridiplantae; Streptophyta; Magnoliopsida; Solanales; Solanaceae. The record is from RefSeq and is a predicted model, not a curated record. The transcript is spliced from 3 exons.